GAGGGCGUAUCUCAGUGGUAGAGGGCGUGCUUAGCAUGCACGAGGUCCUGGGUUCAAUCCCCAGUACCCUCU
This 72-nucleotide transfer RNA is filed under the name Camelus bactrianus (Bactrian camel). It matches the Rfam family "tRNA". From Rfam's summary of the family: Transfer RNA (tRNA) molecules are approximately 80 nucleotides in length. RNAcentral also lists the same sequence under 2 other names. The record is from Rfam by way of RNAcentral. Lineage: Eukaryota; Metazoa; Chordata; Mammalia; Artiodactyla; Camelidae.